RNAcentral lists this unclassified non-coding RNA (242 nucleotides) under Hevea brasiliensis (rubber tree). The record is from RNAcentral. Lineage: Eukaryota; Viridiplantae; Streptophyta; Magnoliopsida; Malpighiales; Euphorbiaceae.
AGGACCUUAGAUUUGCAGCAAUGAGAGAACUAAGGGAAGAAACAUGAGUUACUUCAGCCGAGUUUCUUGCAGAGGUUCCUGAUUAAGUUUACUGGGAAGGAAGGAGGAAGAGAUCAACCUAUUGGGAGAUGGAUAUUCAAGGAUUGGUCAUGGAUGUUACCAGAGCGAGUGGUGGAGCUUGUGAGUAAACCUUACUGCAUAAACAUUAACUGGAAUUCUUUCUUUGAAUAUUCAUACCAAAG